CUGGAAACACACAUACUGUACCAAGCCCAUCACUGGGUGACAAAUCCACAGGUUCUACAGAACUCAGUUCUUAAAGGGACAUUUCACCACUACUCUUUCACUGUAUAUGUUGUUAUGUUAUGAACAUAUAAUACGUGUCAUAGAAAGGGAACAUUUCCUCACUACACACAAAUGCGAGCGUUUCUGCAUCUCACCGGUAGAAAUGAGACAUUUACACUUCAUGGUUGUAAGCAAACCACAAUAUCCAGAAUUCAUUGCGAUUUCAGGAUGUAGGACUGUCACGUCGUGUGUAUAGGUGGCAGGGAAGUCAGGCGCAGGAGAAUCGAACUUCGUUUGAAUGGAGUAGUUUAAUAACUUAAACAAACACAGCCCCAAAACCAUUUGACAUAAAUAAAAACAAAGAGGGUACGAGGACCCGUCGCCCACCAAUACAAACAACACGAGCAUGAACAAAAACAAUCUCUAACAAGGGCAUGAGGGGAAACAGAGGGUUAAAUACACAACAGGUAAUGAGUGGGAUUGGAACCAGGUGUGUAGGGAGACAAGACAAAAACCAAUAGAAAAUGAAAAAUGGAUCAAUGAUGGCUAGAAGACCGGUAACGUCGACCACCGCCCGAACAAGGAGAGGCAUCGUCUUCGGUAGAAGUCGUGACAAGUACAGCGCCUGUCGAGGUGGACCCAGUUGAGAAUGGGUGUCAACAGCUUUGACCCUUCUGCCUGCCCUGACCUUGAGCCUGCCUGUCGUCCUGUACCUUUGCCCCACUACUCUGGAUUUACCGACCUCUGCCUGACCUGAGCCUGCCUGCCGUCCUGUACUUUUGCCCCCGUUGUUGUAAUAAACAUUGUUACUUCAACACA
Long non-coding RNA from Oncorhynchus keta (chum salmon), 858 nucleotides. RefSeq lists it as uncharacterized. The record is from RefSeq and is a predicted model, not a curated record. NCBI's taxonomy places the organism in Eukaryota, Metazoa, Chordata, Actinopteri, Salmoniformes, Salmonidae. The transcript has 2 exons.